This is a non-coding RNA of Triticum aestivum (bread wheat), 115 nucleotides long. The record is from Rfam. Lineage: Eukaryota; Viridiplantae; Streptophyta; Magnoliopsida; Poales; Poaceae.
GAUGUACUCCCUCCGUUCGGAAUUACUUGUCGCAGAAAUGGAUGUAUCUAGAUGUAUUUUAGUUCUAGAUACAUCCAUUUCUGAGACAAGUAAUUCUGAACGGAGGGAGUACAUA